RNAcentral lists this long non-coding RNA (2429 nucleotides) under Marmota monax (woodchuck). The record is from RNAcentral. Lineage: Eukaryota; Metazoa; Chordata; Mammalia; Rodentia; Sciuridae.
GGGGGAGGCUCGGUGGGCGCCACCGCCUCCUAAUCCUGAGUCUCUCCCCCUCCCUGUGUCUGAACCUUUCUUGUGGAUGCUGACUGACGCUCCGAUUUGUUCACUUCUCUCUCUCUUUCUCUCUCCAUCUCCUUGGUCCAUCUCUGUCUCUUGCCAUCCCUCUUUUUGUGUCUCCAUGUCUGUCUCUGCCUCCCCGUCCUCCUGUCUCUUAUUUCUGUCUUCUUCACCGUCUCUGUCUCUGGCCACCUCUGUCUCUCUGGGUUACCUCUUGCCCUCUCCAUCCCUUUCUCUCUUUUUCUCCCUGUCUUGGGGUCUCUCUCUCCCUGCACUCGCAUUUCCAUGCUUCCUCCUGGUGUUUCUGCCCUUCCCCCCACCCAGGUUACGAGAAAUCCCGCAGCCUGAGCAGCAUCGCGGGCCUGAGCGGGGUGUCCCUACGCCUUGCACCCCUUGCCACCCCCCCAGGCUCUCCCCGGGCCACCCGCCGUGCUCCCCCAACCCUGCCCUCCAUCCUUUAGCGCUCCCCUCCCCCCUGUGGGGGGACUCGGGGGUGACCGGGAAGAAGGUCAAAGGAGCUGGGGGUGGGGGGUGGGGGAAAGGUUUUUAAAAAAAAAAAAAUCAAAAAGUCAUUAAUAAUAUGCAACCGAAAUGAUGAUGCCAGCAGACACCCCCAGGCCCCUCACCCACAAUCUGGGCCCCAGGAUGGAGGGGGAGGGGCUGUAGCCGUUCCCCCAACCCCCCCAAAAAGCCUUCUCAGGUCUCCAUGAGCCAUAGGACACCCCCUCCCAUCAACUUGUGUAAAUAAGUCCAAAUUAUGCCAGUUACAUCUUGGGGCACCUCCCCCCAAAUGCACUCUGCAUGCCUCCCAGAUCUGGACCCUGCUCCAACUCCUCAGCAAUAAGCCACCAGGGGCUGCGUGCUGCGAGUAGGGGGCUGGGAGCUCCAGGAGUAGGGCUGGCCUUUAAGCCACAGGAGGGUGUCCUGGCUUCCUACCCUUCACCCCAAGAGGGCAACCAACCCAUCACGCAUAAGGAGAAACAAAAUCCUAGAAAGGGCUCAGGGAAAGGAGAGAUUGCUAACCAGGCCAACAAAGAGCUGAGCUCAGAUGGCAGGAUGAGGCAAGAGUGGUGGGCUGCUGCCAGCUGCUCCCUCAGCCUUUAGGAGGAUCCCUCUGGUGAAUUCCACCCUCUCAUCCCCCACCCCACCCCCAGGGAUCUGCUCGCCUCUAUUCUUGCUGCAUGGACUCAGACCUGCCAUCCUAGAAUUCUUGGGAUGAUUUGGCCCUAGCACAUAAAAUUCCCCAACCCUUUCCCUCUGUUCCCAGGACAUGAGACCUGCAUCUAGGAUUCCUGAGAGGGACCCUGGCACCCCACACCCCUAAAUCCCCACACGCCCCAGGGGCCUUGCCUCUGCACACAGAUGCUUCCCUUCCCCUCCCCAAUAUGCCCACCCCCAAAUUCCCUGGACCGCAUCCCAGCACUUUUUAAACCUCCAAGACUUGACCCAGCUCUUCAGCUCAAUUUCAGCCUUUGGGAUGCUCCAAAUCCUUCCCACAACUUUGACAUAUCCCAGACACCCCCAAGUCCUCAGGCCUGCCCCCCAUACACCCCCAUAUCCCUAACAUCAGACCCAUCCACCCUAGGUCCCACUAAUGCUAAACUUCCAAAAUAGGCUCAGCCUAUCUUUAAAUCCAGGGAGCCAGACCCAUCCCAGCACCCCCCUUCUUAGGUAAGCCUAGCCCUGCCCCUCACGAGGCUCCUUCCCCAAGAUGGUGCCCCAAAGGUACCUCUUCAUGGCCACCAGUGUUUCCAAAGUGUGGUUCUCAUGCUCCUGCUGGUGUGUUAAGGUAUUAGGCAAUACAAGGACAAACACCUGUUAAGAAUUCUUUAAUGUGCACAUCUUGCAUAUUAAGCUCAUAAGUGCACGUAUUGCUACUUGGCCAGGGCACCAUUUAUGCAGGUUAAAAAUGUUUCCAUUUAAAGCAGUCCAUAAGUGAUCAUAGAGGCUGUGCUUGAAUGGAGGGACACUGAUGUCAAGCUUGGGAGACAACGACAUACCCAACUUGGCUGGGAUUCCAGCCCUCCCUUCCCCAGCGUUCCUCGUCCCGCUACACUCGCGGGUGGAAAAUCAUUUCUCAUAUCCCAUCCUGGCUCAAGGAUGCGCUACCUCCCCCAAGCCCAGAGACCACACUGGUCCCAGAAUCCUUAGCGGCCCCCACUUUUGCAGCUGGGGGCCCACGUGAAUCAGCAACCUCCCUCUGCUCCCACGGGCUCAGAACCCCCCACUUCCACCCAAUGGUGUGUGUGUGGGGAGGUCACUGAACACGAUUCUUGAUGCAAUGAUUCCUAUGCAAGGGGCAUUUUGAGUCCCCUCAUCCUUCCCUCGGACCCUAAACCCUGAAUCAGGGGUGAGGGGUGGGGAGGGCUCUGGUG